This 256-nucleotide unclassified non-coding RNA is filed under the name Hevea brasiliensis (rubber tree). Lineage: Eukaryota; Viridiplantae; Streptophyta; Magnoliopsida; Malpighiales; Euphorbiaceae. The record is from RNAcentral.
CGCCGUCGCGCAAUGGCGUGGCGGAGCCGUCCGCCCGCUCUGCGUGUUCGACGCGAAGCCGCUCCCCUACAAGGACGCAGUCGCCGAUGGAAAGUCAUGGGGCGACAUUCCGACAUGCAAGUCGCAAGGGCUCGAUGUCGAGUACGUGAUGCUGCGCGGAUUCUUCACAUCGCCGAAGGCGACCAAGGAGCAGGUCGAUUAUUAUGUGGAUGUGCUCAAGAAAGUUCGUGAAACACCCGAAUGGCAAAGCCUGAUG